AAGUCGUAACAAGGUUUCCGUAGGUGAACCUGCGGAAGGAUCAUUAGAGUAUUUACCCACUCUUUGUAUGCUCACUCUGGGUCGCCUUCUCGUCACUGAGAUGGCGUGGCCCGUAAGACUGGUGGACUUUGAGCCACCGGUCGCUUUUCUUGACACUUUAUUUCUUUUUAUGACUGAGACAAAAGUUAGCAUUAAUUGCUGAGACAACUUUUAGCAACGGAUCUCUAGGCUCUC
RNAcentral lists this unclassified non-coding RNA (234 nucleotides) under fungal sp. RNAcentral's name for it is "partial internal transcribed spacer region". The stretch from base 1 to 46 matches the Rfam family "Eukaryotic small subunit ribosomal RNA", at positions 1786 to 1831 of the family's 1831-position model. The record is from RNAcentral. Lineage: Eukaryota; Fungi.